Molecule: ribosomal RNA, 405 nt
Filed under: Triticum aestivum (bread wheat)
Lineage: Eukaryota; Viridiplantae; Streptophyta; Magnoliopsida; Poales; Poaceae
Description: partial small subunit ribosomal RNA
Source: RNAcentral
AUGUAUUGGUUCUUUCUGAUGUUUUGUUUCUCAGCAAAUUUAGUGAUAUUUUUUAUGAAGAUCAUUUUAUCGGGACACUCAGACAACAUAUCAUUAUGUUCAGCAGUUCCAUCGAAUAUCCAGGCCUUGAGGUGUUUGGUAAACUACGAGGCUCUGCGGUUUGCCGAACCAGUAAGGGUUCUUGCAGACGAUAUGGUUGUUCGAAUGAUCAAAAGGAGUUCUUUGGCUGGUGGGAAAUAUGUCUCGGUGCAUCUCCGUUUCGAAGAGGAUAUGGUGGCUGGAAGGAGAAAAUUGAAAUGGGAAAUGCCCGUGAAAGGAGCUGGAGAGGGAAGUUUCACUGACCUGGUCGAGUUAUCAAUUCCGAGGCAAACAGAAGGGAUGGGAAAUGCCCACUUACUCCUCUAG